GAUGAUCGGGGGAAGAUUACCACGUAUGCAAGUAAAUCACAUUUCCCCAACUUUUGGCUCCAAUAGGGUGCUAAGCUACAAUGUACACCCCCACCAACAGGAUCCUGAAGGAUAAAAGAUAUUGAGCACAAAGGAAUAUAUGGCUGUAUGGAGAAAUUGUAAUGAAAAGGAAUGGACCAAUGCUGGGGGGAGUUAUUUCCAGCUGAAAACACUCUCAUGUGUUCUAAUUUAGCAUGCCCAAUCUGGUCUGCAUGCUUUGAAGAAGCAUACAUAUAAAUUUUCAAAACAAGCUCGAUGUUCGAUGCAAGAAGUUGUCUGAUGCUGCAAAGAAAAACAUUAUAAUGGCUUGAGACGAAGUGACAACAUAUUACCUCCUUGAUCCCCAAUUUGGGAUAGAAGCUGCGACUGAAGAAGUCAAAUUCAGAUUCUGGAGGAGCAAGUCCUGUUAUAAUUAACCCCAUCGCAGGAAGUUUUUGUAUAUCAUCAAACUGUGGUUCUAUAUCCACAACGGUCUUCCCAGACGAUAGCACGACCUGAACCAACACAACACAACUAGCUGUGAAGAAGUUGUCUUUCUCUACCACAUGACUUAUGUGGACAAAAAAUGAAGAAAGGCUAAAGGAUUCAAGAAAAUACAAAGAGGUCAUCUCCCUCAGUCUUCUUUAUAUCAAUCACUGAAGCACCAUUCAAGGCUUUGGAUAUUGAUGCAACCUCAGCAGAGUUAUAUUCGACCAUUGGGACAAUCGGGAAAUCUAAUUCGAUAGAGAAGUGUUCUUGUGCUUCUCCAUUCUCAUACUUCAAGGCAUCUGAUUUGUUGCCUUGCAUGACUUUUCUGGCAGUUAAAACUCCAGACAGUGUGAUAAACUCGAUUAAAUUCCCGUUCACCAACCUGGAAGUGAAGAGAAAGUGUGCUGCUGCUAAGGUAGCAUGGCCACAGAGAGUCACCUGCAAACAAGCGUAGCAUAGACUUAACACAAGAGAGACAUACCUAGCUGUCAAUUGAAACACAGACACAAGCACUAAUUGGUCAAAUAUGUAUUAGAUUUAUAACAACCUACUCUCAACCAUAUAGAUAUGUCCUCCUUGGGCCAAAAGGGUUCUCACGAUAUUAAAACACGUCUAGUUUACAUGAUUAAGAGGAACCCAUAAAUAUUCAAGUACUUUUCUCCUUCCCCUAUCUAAUGUGAUAUGUUAAAUAAACCCUCGCACUAGGUCAGGAUCAACUUUGAUAUUAUUUGUAAUGAUUUAUUCCUAAUUGUGUAGAUAUUGCCUGUUUUGCACUAAAGAGACUCUCAUAUAUAUAUAUAUAUAUAUAUAUAGUGACAGGAUCUUUUUCGGCUAUCCGAGAUAUCAUAUAUUUAGUAUAGUUUACAUAUCAAAACCUGCAAACCCAGUCAAUGAAGGUUGUAAUCAAACACCACAAUAAGGGAUUAGGCUUGAUUAUUAUGUUUAUGUUCAGUUUGGGAAAUGGGGAAGAAGAUUGAAAUAGAGCACAAGAAUGUUCUUUUCCUUCAUAUCUAUAUUCAAAUUUGGUAUUUGUGAUUCUCAGAAUUUCUCAAUUGGGGCAUACUUUUUCUUGAAACUAGUACAACCCAAUUGAAGCAAGCAUUGGAUUAAGUCAUCCAAUAAUUCCUGAAAUUAAACUUCAAAGUAAUAAACAAAAGCAAGAAACGGAUUUGGUAGCUGAGAAAAUGGGACGAAAAAAUAAAAUAAAAAUCAAACUUAUCUUAUCAGUGCUUUUUCUUUCAGAGGACUAAUUCCCACCUUUUCUCAACAACCAAACAUAGCAUAUGAUAAAAAUUGUAGAAAUGAACUCACCUCGGUAGUGGGAGUGAACCAUCUGAGCCGAAACCUAGGAGUUAAAAUUGUAGUGGACGAGUCAAGAGCCUCUGGCUCAGUGAUCCGAUUCAAGUAACAACUUUCAGAGAAAUUGAACUCCAUAGCCAGGGCCUGCAACCAAUCCUCAUCUCUCUCUUCCUCCAACAAGCAAACUGCAGCUGGGUUUCCCUUGAACGCUGAAUCAGUGAAUGCAUCUACCUGUCUCACAAUUCUCAACCAUAUUCAAAUAUAUAGGAUGUACCCACAUCUACAUAUAGAAAAAGAGGGAGAUGCGACACUUACCACUGUGAAUUUGACUGGUUUUUUCGCCAUGAAAGAUGGAUGAAGUUCAGCUGGAAUGGUGUUUUCUGUUAUCUCUGUAUGGGAAGGUGGGGAUGAGAAACUCAAGUCUUAAAAGGCGGCUUCUCUUCCGACAACUCUUUUGAGCUGUUUUGCGGUUGGUGGAUUAUGGAAAUAAAAAUUUAUUAAUUAUAAGUUUUUUUUAGAUUCCCUUUUUCACAACAGAGGAAGAUAAGAUCCAACUGUUUUAGAAAAGGGUUUUUAAGAAUAAUAUAUUAUUAUAUUUGAUAUUUAAAUGUAUUUAAUAUGUUUAAUAAAUAAAAUUAAAUAAUUAUAUUAUAUGAUUAAAUCAUAUUAACUCAUUUAAUAAUCCUUAAAAUUAAAUUCAAAGUAAUAAAUAAAAGAAAUAAUAAAUUUACUUAAAAAAAAGAAAAAAAAUUAAGGAUAUAUUUGUUAACUAUUUUCGAAAUUCUAUUUUUUAAAAUAAAAAUUUAGGAAAACAUAUUUGAUAACUAAAAAUUAUUUUUUGUUUUUAUUUUUAAGAACAGAAAAUAUGAUACUUUCAGAUAACAUUUUUCAAUUGUUUUAUAUUAUUUUUACCUAUUUUCUAAAAAGUAAUUAUUUAAUAAAGUAAAAUGAUUAAAAAUAGGUUAAAAACAUUUAAAUUUUUAAAUGAACUUUUAUUCUAUAAAAUAUUAAAUAAUAAUUUUAAAAAAUUACUUUAAAAAAAUAUUUUUUAGAACUGUUUUCUAAUAUAGUUAUCAAACAAAUCUUAAGUAUAAUUUACUUUUUAAUUUUGAUGUAUGUAUCUUACAUUUUAAUUUUCAAUGUUCAAAAUUUAAUAUUUUGUCCUUAAUUGUUAAAAAAAUCCAUGAUCAAUUUAUUAAGUAAAUAAAUAAGGUUAAAAUACAAAAAAAAAAAAAAAAUGAUUAAAUUUGAAGCCCACACGCUUUACAGUUGCAUACGAAAAUCUAUAAAAUAAAAUAAAAUAAAAGUGAAACUCCACAGCCCUGGCCUGCAACCAUUCCUGAUCUCUCUUCCUCUAACAAGCAGGCUGCAGCUGGGUUUCCCUUGAACGCUAUCUCUGUGAAUGCAUUUAGCUCACUGAAUUUGACUGGUUUUUUCGCCAUUGAAGUGGGGUUGUGGUUGAGUUCACUGGUUAUGGUUUCUCUUUGUCUCAGCCUCUGAGAAAGGUGGAGAUGAGACCAUCAAAAUAUAAGCUGGUUUUGGUUGGUGAAAUAAAAGAAGUAAUUGAUACUUUUUGUACAAUACUACCAUCAAAUGACAUGACAAUUAUACUUUUCAUACCAUAAUUAGAAUCUUCGAAUACUAAGGUUAGGUUCAAACAUUUUCCUUUAAAGCCUUUGUAUCCACGUGCCAAGUCACGUGUCACUUCCCUCAGUAUUGCCUAGAUAGCUGCCACAUCAUCCGAAGCCUUCCAUUCGGACCACACAGGCAUGCGGCAAAUGACACCAGACUCCCUAAGCGGGCAACAUCUUCCGGCCAGCCUUCAAGCCCCCUUGCUACGUGUAAUCAUUUCCAUCUGACAUGGAGGUGACUGUUGAGAUCUUCCCCAAUCCUUACAUCCAUGUCAAUGGAUUAUCACACACUGUCUCAUACCUCCAGCAAGUUAAAGUAACGGACAACCGCAUCAUGACACAACUUUUGACAACACCUACCAACCGCCUAAAAUUGUAAUGAUUGUCUUGCCACCUGUAAGGCAGUCAUCAUUACGAAAAAUGUCAAAGUGCCUAUUUAGCACUAUAGUGGUUUUCUCCUAAACACUAUAAAAAGCCCUCCUGAAGCAUGAUCCAGAUACGCGCAUUUAAGCUAACCUAUUCAUUCUCUCCUUGAAAGGGUCUGAUCUACCUAACUUAAGUUUCGGAGGGGGGUGUCUGGACCACCUGUCCGGACAUCCUUUGUGCAAGGAAGAAGCUUGCCUAAUUCCCCGUUGCUAGGUAGAAGCUCUAAGAGGCACAACGUAAAGAGUAUCUGACCUCAGUUGACCUCACAUCUGUUGAUACCUCGCACUCCUGGGAUUCCACGUAGCUGCCAAAUGGAUGGAGACGCGAUCUCAACACACAAAGGUUCUUGAUUCAGUCGUUAUACCUGCAAAAAGGCAUCCGGACAGGGUGUCCGGACGCACCCUCCGAUGGUAUUGUUAGUCAUGGUCAGAGAGGGAGAUAUAAAUCAGUUGGCCUUUUACUAGGUAUCUGGAGAUUACCUUCCUCUUCGUGUGAAGGUAUAUAUAUAGUGCCAGGAGUACUGUUCCUCUCAUUAAUGGUGAGGAGAUAUUUUAUGUUUUGUCAUGAUGACAUUCGGAGGCAGCAUGGUCAUCGCCACCCUACUGGUGGCUGUCAGAAACCGUGGUAGGUGAUGCUGCUGUCAAAGAUCGUGGGAAGUGAUCAUGUAGAAUGACCGUGGGAAGUGACUUGUUGUCACCUCAACCCGUCCUUUCACUCUGCAGGUGAUGGGACGUGGGUCAUGGCUGGUUGUCGUGAUAGCGUGUAAGACUUGCUAUACUUUAGUCAAUGAUCCGGACCAUUGUAUCCGGACGGCAUAUGUUUGAUCAUCCGGAUGCAUUGUGUAAAUCGUCCGGAUGAUAUGCUUAUAAGUGCCGUUUGAUCUUCCUUGAGGCAGUCCGGAUAUAAAAUGUGCGCCAUGUGCGCUUUACAGGAAGGUCCGGACGAGGGUGACCCAGGUGACAAUGUGUGCCAUGUGUCACUGUAGGAUGCGUGCCACGUGUUCUCGGAGGGAGGGGUCCCUAUAAUGCCCCCCUUUUUAACUUGCCUAUUUUGCCCGAGCAAAAAAUGGGCGGGUUAAAAAACAAUUGGUUUUUGAAACCGAAGUCGACUUUUUGUCUGGUUGGGCCACGUGGCGAGUUGGGGUGCGAGAGCCAAAAAAAGGCAUUUAUGAUGAGCCGCCGACUCUGGGUAUUCCCAGGCAGCAUGUCGUUUCAAUGAUGGCGUUUGUUGGACGUUUGGCUUUCCGAUGGGCUGUCCCCCUAUAAAUAUCAUACUGUGUCCACUGUUGCUUUUUUCUACUGCGUUUUUUCUGAGAUUGCUUUCUUCUUCAACCUUGUGUGUACCUUCGCUUCUUCUGAGUGAAACCCUAGAAUUUCCUGACGGUGAUUUGUUGUGUUUUGACGGUGCCUGCCUUACGGUUUGCAAUCCUUGCUUUUCUCUUACAUUCGGUACGUAUUGUUUAUGCCUUGUUCUUUCCUUUUCUGUGCUUUGGUGUUGUUGGUUUGUUUGGGCGAGUGUUGUUUGUAACAGGGUGUUUUGAGGGUUUCAGUUGCCCCCCUGUGGUUUUUGUGGGUUAGGGGUUUGUUGUUGGGGUAGAGUCCAAGAUUUUGGAAUGGAUAUGCUGUUGGUGCGAGGUUUUCUGAGUGUUUGUUAUCGUUUAGGGUUUGUGGGGUUGGUUGGCUGUGUUUGACUGUUGCAUUUCUUGCAUGUAGGUGUCGGUUCAACCUCGGGCUGAAAAAUGUCUUCAACGAAGAAAGCUACUUCAUCUGCCCGCGCCAGCGACGCUCAUGAGAAACCUACAGACAAACUGAACAUAAAGGAGUUCCGGGAUCGAUUCUGCAUUCCAAAUGGCGUGAUUGUGGAAUUUUUGAAUGGGGAGGACGUGGUGUCUACUGAGAAAGCAGAACAAGAUAUUGUCGUCUUCUCCAAGGAUCAAUUCAACGCGGGGCUCCGGUUCCCCCUGCCGGCGUUGUUGACGGAAUUCCUCCAUUUCACCAAGAUUCCACCCGUCUUCAUUCAUCCCAAUAUUAUCCGGGUGCUGAUGGGAUGCAGCAUCAUCAACAUGCAGUACAACCUCGACCUCACGCUGCUGGAGGUGUUUUUCGUCUAUUCGCUGAAGAAGGCGAAAACUGACAUCUUCAGCCUGUCCGCUCACCUGCCCUCCCUUCAAUUGGUGACGGAACUGCCAGACUCGACGAAGGGAGGGGCGAAGGGACGGGUGAUGGUCCGGGGUGCGUGGGCGGGGUCGAGGCAUCCGGCGAGGCCCUUCUCUCCAAACUACUCCUUAGCGAUUCCGGGUAAGUUUGCUUUACGACUUUUGUCCGGAUUUUUACCUUGUUGUUUUCUUGUUGAUCUCUCCGGAUGGUAUUCUCAACCUUUGCUGCUGUUAAUGUAGGUCCGGAAAAAAUGGGCCACCUCGUGGAUUGGGUGGAAAAGGCGUCUUUUGCCUGUCUCAGCAAGUUAUUUGAGAUAGAUGCCAAGGAGAGGCAGUGAAGACGCUGCUGACUGCGCGGAACCUAAUGGCGGUCGUCCGGGAGCCCCAAGAGUAUGUCGUCAACAUUCUCCCCAGGAAGAUGCCAAAGGAGGUAGUACCUGGGGAGCAUUACACUGUGAAGGAUCUCCCGAUUUACCAGGCGUUAAAAGAGGCUGAUGCUGAAAAACGCCGAGCACUUCUGGACAAUCGGGAGAAGAAGAAAAACGAAGGAACCCUUCGGAAGGCUCCCGGACAGAAACGCGACGCAGACUCUCCUCCAAAGAAAACUCCAGCGAAAAAGAGGAAGCUGGUGUAGAAUGGGAAGGGAGUGAAAGAGCCCACUCCUCCCAAGGAAUUUGCUCCUCCGCCCAUUACUCACGAGGCGGAGGUAAUGAUAGAGGAGCCAGUGAACCCUGCUCCUCAUUCCAUCUCAAGCGGAUCCGGACACGUCGCGGGGCUGAACCACUCAAGCACCUCCUUGGCAGCGGUUGCCCGUCUGGCGAAUUUGGUUGAGGAAGCUGCGUCCGUCAAUCAUCCGGACUCCCGUAAUCCAGAUGCCGAUGCAACUGAGGCUGUUUGUGCGACCCCGAUGGAGGAAGCAGGGGCAGAAAGUCAGAGUCAGCCCCCUGACGAUCCGGACCGUCUGGCUCUUGUUCUGGUGAAGGGGCCCCCUUUAAAGAGGCCACGCUCGGUGCGCAAUCUGAGGUCCGGACUCAUGGGGCGGCUUCAAGAUCGUCAGCAAGAGAUUGAAGUUAGUUGCACAUCCGCCCACCACGCUCAUCCGGAGGGGAGUGAAGUCGAGAUGGCAACUGAGUUUUCAGCCGUCCCGGUGAUGGUCCCGGAUGAGGUUGCACCCGGGGAGACCCAUCCGGCCGUAAAUGUUGAGGCCCCUCAUCCGGAACGAAAGUCACCUUCUGCUGCUUCAUCCGGGGGGGGGAACCUGUUAAUGACGCAAGCUCCUCCGCUAGCUCUUUUAGCUAUGCGGAGUUGGAAGAUAAGCUGAAACAAAUUCCACCCGGCUCGCCUGACAUCCUGCCCUCAGCCCAGAUGUUCGAGUCGGUGGAAAUGGUAAACUGUUUUUUUGUGCUUUUUGAUUCUUUUGCCAUUUUGAUGUGUUGUUGUGGUAUGAUUUAUAACUUUGCUUUGCUUGUUUGUGUGUUAGCUGGUGAGUGGUCUCCGCGGCAUGGCUCAACAACACGAUCUCUUUGCUGAUCUGCUGCGGACCACUGAUUAUAUGAGGAUCUUCGCCUCUCGGCAUAAAGAAAGUGAAAACCAGUUGCGUCUGAGACUGGAAGAGGCUGAAGCCAGCUUAUCCACCGCUCGAGCGGAUAAUGAAGCCCUUCGGGCAGAUUUGGCUGAUGCAAAGAGCCGGGAGGAAUCAACGGAGGUCCGCCUGCAUGAGGCAGAGGAUGAGAUGGCCCGGCUGAGGGGGGAGGUGAGGCACCUCCGGACAGAAGUUUCUAUCGAAAAGAAACAGAGGGAAGACUUGCAGCUGCGCUUAGUUUGCACAAAAAGAGGAGUUAGAACUGGAGUUUGCUGCAGAGAGGGAGGAACUUGAAGUAGAAUACCAAAAACAAGUGGAUGAUACGUUCAUCUUUGGGUAUCGGUGCUGCAUGAAGAAGAACGGUAUCAAGCGGGACGUGCCUUCAAUUCCUCCGGGUGAAGAAAAGAAGCUUCAUGACAAGCCUGCUCCCUGAUAGCUUCCUUUUUUGCAAUUUCUUCUGUAAUCUUCUUUCUGUAUUUUUGUGGUCCGGAGACCUCUUUGUUCAUACAUUUAUCCACAUCAAUAAAAAUACUUCUUUUUCAUUUGCACUUGUCUCUGCUUUUUCAUUGAUAGUACUGCUUUAAAUUAGACACAUUUCAAGGUCUAAGUAAUGGAGUUCCGUCUAACUUUUGUAAAUGAUAAGCUCCAUUGUCACUUACCUUAGACACUAUAUAGGGUCCUUCCCAGUUGGCCUGGAACUUCCCUGCGCCUACCUCAGCAGUGUUUUCAAAAACUUUUCUAAGGACUAGCGUACCAUUUUUGAAGCUUCUUGGCCUCACUUUGCGAUUGUAAUGUGCUGAUGCCCUUUGUUGAUAAUCUGCCAUCCGGAUGGCCGCGCUUUCCCUCACUUCAUCCGUCCAAUCCAAAUUUCUUCCUAAUUCCAUGUUUGCAUCACUCUGUUCUGCUGCGUCAGUCCGGAUAGUAGGAAGACCUAUUUCAGUAGGAAUGACUGCAUCCAUUCCAUAUGCGAGAGCGAAAGGAGUAUUUUCUGUUGGCCGUCCGGGUGUAGUUCGGUAGGCCCAUAAGACGCCGGGUAGCUCCUCGACCCAUUUUCCUUUGGCUUGUUCAAGCCUUUUCUUUAAGGCAGUGAUUAGGGUUUUGUUUGUAGCUUCUGCUUGCCCAUUACUUUGAGGAUAUCGCGGUGUGAAGUAUGAAUUCCGGAUGUUCAGCUCCACACAGAAAUUUCUGAAAGCAAUGCUGUCAAAUUGCGGACCAUUGUCAGCUAUGAUGGCUUGGGGAAUCCCAAAACGGCAAAUAAUGUUUUUCCAUACGAACUUGGUGACAUCUUUGUCUUUGAUGCUAGCAUAUGCUUCAGUUUCUACCCACUUACUAAAGUAAUCAGUGGCAACAAAGAGGAAUUUCUUUUGGGCAGGCGCAACUGGGAGAGGUCCCACUAUGUCCAUGCCCCAUUGUGCGAAGGGUCAUGGGCUUGAUAUUGAUUUCAAUGUUGCUGAUGGCAUAUGUGGAAUGGGAGCAUGCUUUUGACAUUUGUCACAAUUUUUGACGUAUGCUGCCGCAUCCUUCUUCAUUGUUGGCCAAUAAUAUCCCUGUGAAUGGGCUCGAUGUGCCAGAGAUCGUCCUCCUGAAUGAUUCCCGCAUAUUCCUUCGUGUAACUCAGCUAACACAUACUGGGCCUCUGAAUGCCCUAGGCAACGAAGGUAAGGUCCUGUGAAGGACCGCUUGUACAGGUGUCCCCCAAUCAGGGUGAAACAGGCAGCUUGCACCCGGACUUUGUGUGCUUGUUUGAGAUCUCCGGGUAAAGUUCCAGUCCGGAUAUAUUCUGUGAUGCCAUUCAUCCAUUCUUGGCCGUCCACUUGGGAUGCCUCAAUGGUAUUGCAGGUGGAACUUUCUGCGACAGAGGGGUUGGGUUGCACAUGUAUGGGCAAUAGAAUGGCUUCUUUGAUAGGGAGGGAGGCAGCUAUGCCGGCCAAGGCGUCAGCGCGCCUAUUGUCAGCUCGCUUGAUUUUUUCGAUUGUCCAUUCGGUGAAUUGCUGCAAGGUGUUUCUUACUUUAGCUAAGUAACGCGCCAUGCGUGCGUCCUUAGCCUCAUAUUCCUCCUGGACAUGCUUUACCACGAGUUGUGAGUCGCUGUAGAUCCGGAGUUUGGAGACGGAUAGAGCAAGGGCGAGGUCCAAUCUGGACAAGAUGGCCUCAUAUUCUGCUUCAUUGUUAGAGGCAGGGAAUCCCAACCGGAUGGCUUGCUCCAAAUGUUCCCCAGUUGGGGACUGUAGUAGGAGCCCAACUCCAGAGCCUGAUGAGCGUGAGGCUCCGUCAACUCGUAGAGUCCACCAUACUUGUUUGUUUGAUUCGUGGUGUUGGCUGGGUCUUCGGGAAUAUUCUAGCACGAAGUCAGCCAUUACUUGGCCUUUCAUGGACAAUCUGGGUUGGAAUUCGAUUCCAAAUUCGCUUAAUUCGAUGGCCCAUUGUAGCAUUCUCCCGGUUAAAUCUGGCUUGUGCAGAAUGUUGCGAAGGGGCUGGUCGGUUAGUACGAUCACUGGAUGAGCUUGGAAAUAAGGGCGGAACUUCUGGGCAGCGCUUCGAAGGGCUAAGGCUGUUAGCUCCAUUUUUUAAUAUCGGGUUUCUACGUCUGCCAAUGCCCUGCUCACGUAGUAGAUAGGUUUCUGCUCCUUGGGUGAGGGGCAGCAGAGUAGAACGGCACUGAUUGCCCACUCUGAUACCGCCAGAUACAUAUACAAUUUCUCUUUUAGAAUGGGGCUGUUCAAGAUGGGUGGUUGCGUAAGACAAUGUUUUAUCUUUUCGAAAGCGUUUUGGCAACUGUCCGUCCAUCCGUGCGCUCCAGCUUUUCGUAUUGCCAGGAAGAAGGGUCGUAAUUCAUCAGUGAAGCGGGCUAUGAAACGCCCUAACGCAACGAGCUUGCCUGUGAGGCGUUGUAACUCCUUCUUAUUCUUGGGAGGGGGUGUUCCCAUGACUGCCUUGACUUGAUCCGGGCUGACUUCUAUGCCCCUUUGGCUGACCAUAAAUCCCAGAAAUUUGCCAGCACUUACGCCAAAGGCGCAUUUAGAAGGAUUUGACUUCAUGCCAUACUUUCGUAAGAGGUGAAAAACUUCUUGUAAGUGAAGGACAUGUUCCUCUCGGGUUUUGCUUUUAACCACUAUAUCAUCAAUAUAUACCUCUACCGUGUGUCCCAUCAGGGGUUUAAAGAUUUUUGUCAUCAAUCUUUGGUAAGUGGCGCCAGCAUUUUUGAGUCUGAAUGGCAUGAUUUGUAGCAAUAGAGGUCGUGUGGCGUUAUGAAUGCUGUCUUUUCUUCGUCAUCCGGGGACAUGGGGAUCUGGUGAUAUCCGGAGAAGGCAUCCAAGAAAGAGAGCAUUCCUUGCCCAGAAGUGGAAUCCACAAUUUGAUCUAUUCGCGGCAAGGGAAAACUGUCUUUUGGACAUGCGCUGUUGAGAUUGGUGUAGUCUACACAAACUCGCCAUUUUCCUUCUUUUUUGGAUAAGAUACUUCUCUGACGAAUCCGGCAUUUAGUAGUUUGUCAAUCUCUUUCCGGAUAACUUCUUGUCUAUCCGGGUGGAAACGUCUAAUCUUCUGCUGGACGGGUCUGGCAGCUGCAAAGACGUUAAGCUUGUGAGAUGCAACAGAUGGAUGAAUUCCCCUCAUAUCAGAAUGUGCCCAUGCGAAGAUGUCAUGGUUUCGCCUGAAGAUAUUUUGUAUGCUCUGAGUUUCUUCGGUCGUCAUGAGGGAACUGAUGUUCGUGAGGUGAGUGCUUUCCUCCGAAAUUUGGAUUGUUUGUAAGGGAUCUGCUGCAGGGGGAUCUUUGUCCGCCGGACCCAAUAAUUGCUAUUGGUCAUGUGCAAUGCUGGGUUCAGGGGGAGAUGCAUCCUCCUGAUUGGCCCCCGCUUCACGUGCUAUCUGAUAGCAUUGACGGGCGGCUAAUUGGCUGCCAUAUAGGUCGAUUUGGCCCUCGUUGGUGAGAAAGCUCACCAUUUGAUGAUAUGUAGAGGGGAUGGCUUUCAUGUAAUGAAGCCAUGUGCGCCCCAAGAUGAUAUUGAAGGGUGAUAACUCUUGUACCAUCGAGAAUUGUACGUUGAGAGUGACUGGGCCAGCUUGGACCGGCAGUACAAUGUCUCCCAAAGACGUAGUUGAUGAGCCGUUGAAUCCGGACAGUAUUCGUCUGGGGUUUUCAAGGCCUGUGAGACUGUGUCCCAUGUGGCUAACGACCGAUGCUUGUAUAAGAUCGGCCGAGCUGUCUGGGUCAACCAAGAUACGUCGCACAUCGAAGUCUCCUAUCUCUAGGGACAAGAUGAGGGCGUCUCGAUAUGGUUGCAGUGUCCGGGUGGGAUCUACUGGUGGGAAAAUGAUUGUCCCAUCUAUGGGGCAAGGGCUCCCUCCAGUUAGCCCAGGCCGGAUGGAAUUGAUGCGCUCGCGUAUUGAUGCGGCCCGCAACAAUUUUUGUCUCUUUCGCUUAGAGUCGUACUCCUCGUCGGAUGGACCUCCGUUAAUAUAGUUUAUAACGGCCUUGGGGACAGAUGGGGCCCUAGGGGCUCCGGGGUUGUGAUGUUGGGAUGCGCCCCUUCCUCCAUUAUCUGAUCGGAGGUAUUGCUUCAAAUGCCCUGCUUUUAUGAGCCUCUCGACCAGAAACUGGAAAGCUCGGCAUGUCUCUGUUGUAUGGCCAUGAUCCUUGUGGAAGGCACAUCUCCUACUACGAUCCCUUGUAGAUGGGUCUGUUCCAAUGGGUCUAGGCCAUCUGAAGUCGGACAAGCCCUGGAUCAUUGGGAGAAGUUUCUCAUAUGAUAUGGAAAGAGGUGUGAGAGGCGGCAUUUUCGGGCGACUUGGCCCUUCCUGCUUUCUGUCAGACGGCUUUGGCCGAUCCGGAGGUUUAUUAUUUCCCUCCGUAUUAUUUCUAGAUGGCCGUCCGGCAACCAAAACUUGCUGGGUGGCUGCACGUACGUCAUCUUCGAGCAUUGAAUAUUUGUUGGCGCGCCUGAAUAAGUCAUCCAUUGUUGUAAGAGGUUUUUUAACCAGUGAUUCGAAAAAUGGAGUGCCUGGACAGAUGCUUCGCUUGAAGAUCUGUAGGACAGCAUUCAUACUGCAAGCCUCUACUUGAAGCACGGCCUGGCCAAAUCGCUUCACGAAUUCCCUCAAGGAUUCGUUAUCUUGCAUUUUUAUGUUCUGCAGGGUGCUGAUAUUUUGCUUGUGUCGUGCGGAGCACAAGUAUUGUCCCACGAAAGCUUCGGACAGGUCCCUGAAAUUGCCAACAGAGUUGGGAGGUAGGCGAUGAAACCAUAGAGGGUCUGUCCUUGUAAGCUGGCGGGAAAUACUUUGCAUAGCAGUGCAUCGUUGCCAAUAUCGAGCGUCAUAAGCUGUCAAUAAUGCAUGAUGUGAUCGAAGGGAUCGUUGGUUCCAUCGUAUGUGGAAAACUUUGGUACGAGGAAUCCUCUUGGGGGCUCGUAAUUAAUGAUAUGAGAGCAGAAAGGCGUGGAGAGCAUGUCAUCCAGCCUUUUGCUGAUGGAGCCAAUGGGUGGCUCGUUUGGGAUGUUUCUCCCAGUUGGUUGUUUCGCUGGGUGCGAAUGAACGUUCCGCAUCACGGGGGUGACUACGGGGUCACGAUGCGGGUGAACGUUUUGCACCAUAGGGGUGGCCAUGGGGUCAGGGCGUGGUGCCCAGGUUGUGGCCAUUGGUGGCCUUGAUCUUUCAGGCUCUUGUGGGCCUAACCUUGCGCGCAUCGAAUUUGACAACUGGGAUUUUUUAUCACGUUGUCUUUUCGCUGAAAAGUGAGUAGAGUCUGAGCUUUCCUCACGGGGAAUUCGAGGCAUAGGCGUGCGUGGCUCAUGAGGCCUCACGUUGUAUGCUCCUGGAAUAGCUCCCGUUGUCCCAGGAUAUAUUGAUUCCGGUUCUUGUUGAGGCCUUGAGUUUGCUACUUGGCCUCUUGAACGCUGACGUCGAGGAGGCCUUGAUGUUGAAGUCUGGAUGCGUAAUACAGCGUUUUCUUCUCUCAGUCUUUCUGUCUCCUGGAGGAGAGCUUUUAGUUGUCGUUCGCUUGCCAACUGCCUUCUUUCAAUGGUUUGACGCCAUUCAAAAUCAUCCUCCUCUCUCCUACCAGAUGAACGGCUUUGGGAAGAUGUAGCCAUCUUUUUUAGUGACUGAAUCAAAGUAAAAUUUUCCCACAGACGGCGCCAAUGUUGAUACCUUGCACUCCUGGGAUUCCACGUAGCUGCCAAAUGGAUGGAGACGCGAUCUCAACACACAAAGGUUCUUGAUUCAGUCGUUAUAUCUGCAAAAAGGCAUCCGAACAGGGUGUCCGGACGCACCCUCCGAUGGUAUUGUUAGCCAUGGUUAGAGAGGGAGAUAUAAAUCAGUUGGCCUUUUACUAGGUAUCUGGAGAUUACCUUCCUCUUCGUGUGAAGGUAUAUAUAUAGUGUCAGGAGUACUGUUCCUCUCAUUAAUGGUGAGGAGAUAUUUUAUGUUUUGUCAUGAUGACAUUCGGAGGCAGCAUGGUCAUCGCCACCCUACUGGCGGCUGUCAGAAACCGUGGUAGGUGAUGCUGCUGUCAAAGAUCGUGGGAAGUGAUCAUGUAGAAUGAUCGUGGGAAGUGACUUGUUGUCACCUCAACCCGUCCUUUCACUCUGCAGGUGAUGGGACGUGGGUCAUGGCUGGUUGUCGUGAUAGCGUGUAAGACUUGCUAUACUUUAGUCAAUGAUCCGGACCAUUGUAUCCGGACGGCAUAUGUUUGAUCAUCCGGAUGCAUUGUGUAAAUCGUCCGGAUGAUAUGCUUAUAAGUGCCGUUUGAUCUUCCUUGAGGCAGUCCGGAUAUAAAAAGUGCGCCAUGUGCGCUUUACAGGAAGGUCCGGACGAGCGUGACCCGGGUGACAAUGCGUGCCAUGUGUCACUGUAGGAUGCGUGCCACGUGUUCUCGGAGGGAGGGGUCCCUACAACAUCAACAAUUUCCAUUGCUGUUUUGAAACUCUUUAGCCCCAACAUCACCACCAUGAAUGACCAACCUAUUGCAUUCUAUUAAACCAAGAAUACUUUACAAGACUAUAAAAUUCUCAUUUGGUGCCUUGGCAGCCAUCACCCAUUUAUGCACACUAUUAGAACGGUGUGGAACUGUUACGCCCAUGACAUCUCUAGAAUGAUUGAGACGUUGUAAAAUUUUAUCCAUUAUUCCCAGAACUUUCACCCAACUCUAGAGGAAGGUAGAGAUCAGUGGACUCCUUUGGAAGAAUGAACAACUUGACUUCAUGUUUACAAAGUUCUACUCUGCUGUAAGUGCUCAAAUCAUGGAUUAUUUAAGAAAAACACGACACAUUGAGGAAAAAAACUGUAGAUUUAUCGAAAUCCCACCCUUUUAAGUAUUGAAAGCAGAUGUUCAAGGGGAAUUAAUACGAAGAUGUUUGAAGAAGAUGAAAUUUGGGGAAGCGGCUUAAAUAAAAUUCUAAAAACAAAAAACUAAGAAUAUUAUUAAAUUCAGCAUCACUUAAUCUAAUGCUAGAGCCAGUUCAAUACUAGAAGUUUCACUCCCAAUACACCGUUUCACAAAAUAGUAGCAUUUAAUUUGCUCCAGGUCAUUCUUGUAGAAAAUCUCCUCCAAUUAGUGUUUGCUAGAAAGGCUUUCAGCCUCAAUAAAGGCCCAUUAUACUUUGUGACAUACUGGCAAAUGGAAAAAGGAGACAAUAGCAGCACAGUUGGAUGGUUUCCAAAUGGAAAUUCACAGAAGGAAGUCCAUACUCCAUAGCAAGCAACAAUACCAGGUUUAUAAUUCAAAAAUCUUGAUUAUAAUUGAAGGCCCCUCCACACAAGAACCACAAUUUAUUUUAAUUCUGUUGUACGUCAAAUGCUCUAAAUUUAAACCAGGACACAACCUUCCAUGACUGUAACGGCUUUUCCUCGCAACAGCACCCUCUGGUUUUGUUCAUCUAAAUGAAUAUCCACUCUUCCACUUCUAGGAGAUGCCUGAACAAAGUAAACAUUAUAGUAUAAUCAAUAUGAUGAAGACCAUAAUGACGAUGAUGAUAACAAUGAUGAUGAUCGGGGGAAGAUUACCGCAUAUGCAAGUAAAUCGCAUUUCCCCAACUUUUGGCUCCAAUAAGGUGCUAAGCUACAAUGUGCACUCCCACAAACAGGAUCCUGAGAGAUAAAAGAUAUUGAGCACAAAGGAAUAUAUGGAGGUAUGCAGAAAUUGUAAUGAAAAGGAAUGGGCCGAUGCUGGGGGGAAUUUUCUCCAGCUGAAAAACACUCUCAUGUGUUCUAAUUUAGCAUGUCCAAUCUGGUCUGCAUACUUUGAAGAAGCAUAUAUAUAAAUUUUCAAAACAAGCUAGAUGUUCGAUGUGAGAAGUUGUUUGAUGCUGCAAAGAAAAACAUUAUAAUGGUUUGAGACCAAGUGACAACUUAUUACCUCCUUGAUCCCCAAUUUGGGACAGAAGAAGCGACUGAAGAAGUCAAAUUCAGAUUCUGGAGGAGCAAGCCCUGUUAUAAUUAACCCCCUCCCUGGAAGUUUUUGUAUAUCAUCAAACUGUGGUUCUAUAUCCACAACGGUCUUCCCAGAUGGUAGCACGACCUGAACCAACACAACACAACUAGCUGUGAAGAAGUUGUCUUUCUCUACCAUAUGAAUUAUAUGGACAAAAAAGUGAAGAAGCAAAGGGCUAAAGGAUUCGAGAAAAUACAAAGAGGUCAUCUCCCUCAGUCUUCUUUAUAUCAAUCACUGAAGCACCAUUCAAGGCUUUGGAUAUUGAUGCAACCUCAGCAGAGUUAUAUUCGACCAUUGGGACAAUCGGGAAAUCUAAUUCGACAGAGAAGUGUUCUUGUGCUUCUCCAUUCUCAUACUUCAAGGCAUCUGAUUUGUUGCCUUGCAUGACUUUUCUGGCAGUUAAAACUCCAGACAGUGUGAUGAACUCUAUCAUAUUUCCCUUCAUCAAGCUGGAAGUGAAGAGAAAGUGUGCUGCUGCUAAGGUAGCAUGGCCACAGAGAUUCACCUGCAAACAAGCGUAGCAUAGACUUAACACAAGGAAGACAUAGCUAGCUGUCAAUUGAAACACAGACACAAGCACUAAUUGGUAAAAUAUGUAUUAGAUUUAUAACGACCUACUCCCAACCAUUAGAUAUGUCUUCCUUGGGCCAAAAGGGUUCUCAAGAUUUUGAAACGCGUCUAAUCUACAUGAUUAAGAGGAACCCAUAAAUAUUCAAGUACUUUUCUCCUUCCCCUAUCUAAUGUGAUAUGUUAAACAAACUCUCAUUUGUAAUGAUCUAUUCCUAUUUGUGUAGAUAUUGUCUGUUUUGCACUAAAGAGGCUCUCAUUUAUAUAUAUAGUGACAGGAACUUUUUUCGGCUAUCCAAGAUAUCAUAAGAUUAGUAUAGUUUAGAUAUCAAAACCUGCAAACCCAGUCAAUGAAGGUUGUAAACAAACACCACAAUAAGGGAUUAAGCUUAAUUAUUAUUUUUCUCUUCAGUUUGGGAAAUGGGGAAGAAGAUUGAAAUACAGCACAAGAAUGUUCUUUUCCUUCAUAUCUAUAUUCAAAUUUGGUAUUUGUGGUUCUCAGAAUUUCUCAAUCGGGGCAUACUUUUUCUUGAAACUAGUACAACCCAAUUGAAGCAAGCAUUGGAUUAAGUCAUCCAAUAAUUCCUGAAAUUAAACUUCAAAGUCAUAAACAAAAGCAAGAAACGGAUUGGGUAGCUGAGAAAAUGGGACGAAAAAAUAAAAUAAAAAUCAAACUUAUCUUAUCAGUGCUUUUUCUUUCAGAGGACUAAUUCCCACCUUUUCUCAACAACCAAACAUAGCAUAUGAUAAAAAUUGUAGAAAUGAACUCACCUCGGUAGUGGGAGUGAACCAUCUGAGCCGAAACCUAGGAGUUAAAAUUGUAGUGGACGAGUCAAGAGCCUCUGGCUCAGUGAUCCGAUUCAAGUAACAAGUUUCAGAGAUAUUGAACUCCAUAGCCAGGGCCUGCAACCAAUCCUCAUCUCUCUCUUCCUCCAACAAGCAAACUGCAGCUGGGUUUCCCUUGAACGCUGAAUCAGUGAAUGCAUCUACCUGUCUCACAAUUCUCAACCAUAGUCAAAUAUAUAGGAUGUACCCACAUCUACAUAUAGAAAAAGAGGGAGAUGCGACACUUACCACUGUGAAUUUGACUGGUUUUUUCGCCAUGAAAGAAAGUUCAGCUGGAAUGGUGUUUUCUGUUAUCUCUGUAUGGUAAGGUGGGGAUGAGAAACUCAACUCUUAAAAGGCGGCUUCUCUUCCGACGACUCUUUUGAGCUGUUUUGCGGUUGGUGGAUUAUGGAAAUAAAAAAUUAUUAAUUACAAGUUUUUUUUAGAUUCCCUUUUUCACAACAGAGAAAGAUAAGAUCCAACUGUUUUAGAAAAGGGUUUUUAAGAAUAAUAUAUUAUUAUAUUUGAUAUUUAAAUGUAUUUAAUAUAUUUAAUAAAUAAAAUUAAAUAAUUAUAUUAUAUGAUUAAAUCAUAUUAACUCAUUUAAUAAUACUUAAAAUUAAAUUCAAAGUAAUAAAUAAAAGAAAUAAUAAAUUUGUUUAGAAAAAAAAAAUUAAGGAUAUAUUUGUUAACUAUUUUUGAAAUUCUAUUUUUUAAAAUAAAAAUUUAGGAAGACACGUUUGAUAAUUUAAAACUAUUUUCUAUUUUUACUUUCAAAAAUAGAAAAUAUUAUACUUUCAGAUAACAUUUUUCAGUUGUUUUAUAUUAUUUUUACCUAUUUUUAAAAAAAUUAUUUUAAAAAUUAAUUAUUCAAUCAAGUAAAAUGAUUAAAAAUAGGUUAAAAAUACUUAAAUUUUUAAAUGAACUUUUAUUCUAUAAAACAUUAAAUAAUAAUUUUAAAAAAUUACUUUAAAAAAAUCAUUUUUAAAACUAUUUUCUAAAACAGUUAUUAAACAAAUCUUAAGUAUAUUUAUUUUUUAAUUUUGAUGUAUGUAUCUUACAUUUUAAUUUUCAAUGUUCAAAAUUUAAUAUUUUGUCCUUAAUUGUUAAAAAAAUCCAUGAUCAAUUUAUUAAGUAAAUAAAUAAGGUUAAAAUACAAAAAAAAAAAAAUUGAUUAAAUUUGAAGCCCACACGCUUUACAGUUGCAUACGAAAAUCUAUAAAAUAAAAAUAAAUAAAUAAAUAAGUGAAACUCCACAGCCCUGGCCUGCAAUCAUUCCUGAUCUCUCUUCCUCUAACAAGCAGACUGCAGCUGGGUUUCCCUUGAACGCUGUCUCUGUGAAUGCAUUUAGCACACUGAAUUUGACUGGUUUUUUCGCCAUUGAAGUGGGGUUGUGGUUGAGUUCACUGGUUAUGGUUUCUCUUUGUCUCAGCCUCUGAGAAAGGUGGAGAUGAGACCAUCAAAAUAUAAGCUGGUUUUGGUCGGUGAAAUAAAAGUAGUAACUGAUACUUCUUGUACAAUACUACCAUCAAUGACAUGACAAUUAUACUUUUCAUACCAUAAUUAGAAUCUUCGCGUGCCAAGGUUAGGUUCAAACAUUUUCCUUUAAAGCCUUUGUGUUAUUCACCUCUUUCUAUUUAAGUAUUAUCUGCAUAUGUGAUUUUUGUGGGGACUCCCCUCCACGUGUCACUCCCCUCAGUACUGCCCGGAUAGCUGCCACAUCAUCCGAAGCCUUCUAUCCGGACCACACAGGCAUGCAGCAAAUGACACUAGACUCCCUAAGUGGGCAACGUCUUCCAACCAGCCUUCAAGCCCCCUUGCUACGUGUAAUCAUUUCCAUCUCACAUGGAGGUGACUGAUGAGAUAUUCCCCAGUCCUUACAUUCAUGUCAAUGGAUUAUCACACACCGUCUCAUACCUCCAGCAAGUUGAAGUGACAGACAACUGCAUCAUGACACAACUUUCGACGGCACCUGCUAGCCGCCUAAAACUGUAAUGAUUGUCCUAUCACCUGCAAGACAGCCAUCAUUAUGGAGAAAGUCAAAGUGUCUAUUCGGCACUACAAUAGCUUUCUCCUAAGCACUAGAAAAAGUCCUCCUGAAGCAUAAUCCAGGUACGCGCGUUUAAGCUGAUCUAUUCAUUCUCUCCUUGAAAGGGUCUGAUCUACCUAACUUAAGCUUCGGAGGGGUGUGCCUGGACCACCUAUUCAGACAUCCUUUGUGCAAAGAAGAAGCUUGCCCAGUUCCCUGUCACUAGGCAUAAGCUCUGAGACGCACAACGUAAGGAGUAUCUGACCUCAGUUGACCUCGCAUAACAAUUUCCAUUGCUAUUUUGAAACUCUUUAGCCCCAACAUCACCACCGUGAAUGACCAACCUGUUGCAUUCUAUUAAACCAAGAAUACUUUACAAGACUAUAAAAUUCUCAUUUGGUGCCUUGGCAGCCAUCACCCAUUUAUGCACACUAUUAGAACGGUGUGGAACUGUUACGCCCAUGACAUCUCUAGAAUGAUUGAGACGUAGUAAAAUUUUAUCCAUUAUUCCCAGAACUUUCACCCAACUCUAGAGGAAGGUAGAGAUCAGUGGACUCCUUUGGAAGAAUGAACAACUUGACUUCAUGUUUACAAAGUUCUACUCUGCUGUAAGUGCUCAAAUCAUGGAUUAUUUAAGAAAAACACGACACAUUGAGGAAAAAAAAUGUAGAUUUAUCGAAAUCCCACCCUUUUAAGUAUUGAAAGCAGAUGUUCAAGGGGAAUUAAUACGAAGAUGUUUGAAGAAGAUGAAAUUUGGGGAAGCCUGAAUUUUACAGGCUUAAAUAAAAUUCUAAAAACAAAAAACUAAGAAUAUUAUUAAAUUCAGCAUCACUUAAUCUAAUGCUAGAGCCAGUUCAAUACUAGAAGUUUCACUCCCAAUACACCGUUUCACAAAAUAGUAGCAUUUAAUUUGCUCCAGGUCAUUCUUGUAGAAAAUCUCCUCCAAUUAGUGUUUGCUAGAAAGGCUUUCAGCCUCAAUAAAGGCCCAUUAUACUUUGUGACAUACUGGCAAAUGGAAAAAGGAGACAAUAGCAGCACAGUUGGAUGGUUUCCAAAUCCAAAUUCACAGAAGGAAGUCCAUACUCCACAGCAAGCAACAAUACCAGGUUUAUAAUUCAAAAUUCUUGAUUAUAAUUGAAGGCUCCUCCACACAAGAACCACAAUUUAUUUUAAUUCUGUUGUACGUCAAAAGAUGAAACUUGCUCUAAACUUAAACCAGGACACAACCUUCCAUGACUGUAACGGCUUUUCCUCGCAACAGCACCCUCUGGUUUUGUUCAUCUAAAUGAAUAUCCACUAUUCCACUUCUAGGAGAUGCCUGAACAAAGUAAACAUUACAGCAUAAAAAAUACGAUGAGGACCAUAAUGACGAUGAUGAUAACAAUGAUGAUGAUCGGGGGAGAUUACCGGAUAUGCAAGUAAAUCACAUUUCCCCAACUUUUGGCUCCAAUAGGGUGCUAAGCUACAAUGUGCACUCCCACAAACAGGAUCCUGAGAGAUAAAAGAUAUUGAGCACAAAGGAAUAUAUGGAGGCAUGCAGAAAUUGUAAUGAAAAAGGAAUGGGCCGAUGCUGGGGGGAAUUUUCUCCAGCUGAAAAACACUCUCAUGUGUUCUAAUUUAGCAUGUCCAAUCUGGUCUGCAUACUUUGAAGAAGCAUAUAUAUAAAUUUUCAAAACAAGCUAGAUGUUUGAUGUGAGAAGUUGUUUGAUGCUGCAAAGAAAAACAUUAUAAUGGUUUGCGACCAAGUGACAACUUAUUACCUCCUUGAUCCCCAAUUUGGGACAGAAAAAGCGACUGAAGAAGUCAAAUUCAGAUUCUGGAGGAGCAAGCCCUGUUAUAAUUAACCCCCUCCCUGGAAGUUUUUGUAUAUCAUCAAACUGUGGUUCUAUAUCCACAACAGUCUUCCCAGAUGGUAGCACGACCUGAACCAACACAACACAACUAGCUGUGAAGAAGUUGUCUUUCUUUACCAUAUGAAUUAUAUGGACAAAAAAGUGAAGAAGCAGAAGCAAAGGGCUAAAGGAUUCGAGAAAAUACAAAGAGGUCAUCUUUCUCAGUCUUCUUUAUAUCAAUCACUGAAGCACCAUUCAAGGCUUUGGAUAUUGAUGCAACCUCAGCAGAGUUAUAUUCGACCAUUGGGACAAUCGGGAAAUCUAAUUCGACAGAGAAGUGUUCUUGUGCUUCUCCAUUCU
RNAcentral lists this long non-coding RNA (21638 nucleotides) under Vitis vinifera (wine grape). RNAcentral describes it as "long non-coding RNA (VVIN_LNC002019)". The record is from RNAcentral. Lineage: Eukaryota; Viridiplantae; Streptophyta; Magnoliopsida; Vitales; Vitaceae.